RNAcentral lists this small RNA (112 nucleotides) under Polaribacter vadi. Its description in RNAcentral is "Flavo-1 RNA". It matches the Rfam family "Flavo-1 RNA". The record is from Rfam by way of RNAcentral. Lineage: Bacteria; Pseudomonadati; Bacteroidota; Flavobacteriia; Flavobacteriales; Flavobacteriaceae.
GUUUAGCCCAGAUUGAAACGACAUCCUUUUUUCUUAGUUCGAGUGAAUUUGCCUUUUUGCAAAUUUGUAUCGAGAACUCAGAAAAAAGAUAUAGUGGAAAGCUGGAAAUAGC